UAACACCGGUAUUAGACUUACAUUUAUGC
This 29-nucleotide small RNA is filed under the name Bombyx mori (domestic silkworm). RNAcentral's name for it is "ovarian small RNA-18570". The record is from RNAcentral. Lineage: Eukaryota; Metazoa; Arthropoda; Insecta; Lepidoptera; Bombycidae.